Molecule: small nucleolar RNA, 92 nt
Organism: Phragmites australis (common reed)
Lineage: Eukaryota; Viridiplantae; Streptophyta; Magnoliopsida; Poales; Poaceae
Product: small nucleolar RNA Z122
Exons: 1
Source: RefSeq, a predicted model, not a curated record
GCGGGGAAAUGAUGAGAACUUAUUCCAAAUGUUGUUUGAGGGUAGAUAUUAUCUGCCUCUGAUUAUACCUUGCACGUCAGUCUGAUCCCAUA